GGCUUUGAGCCGAAUUAUCCCCUACGGUGCCCACUGCUGCGGACGGCAAAAAACGGGGUUUUAGGGAUUGAAAAUCCCCGUGUCGGCGGUUCGAUUCCGUCCCGAGCCACCA
This 112-nucleotide transfer RNA is filed under the name Lysobacteraceae bacterium. RNAcentral's name for it is "tRNA-Phe". Lineage: Bacteria; Pseudomonadati; Pseudomonadota; Gammaproteobacteria; Lysobacterales; Lysobacteraceae. The record is from RNAcentral.